This 70-nucleotide transfer RNA is filed under the name Apaloderma vittatum (bar-tailed trogon). It matches the Rfam family "tRNA". Rfam says of the family: Transfer RNA (tRNA) molecules are approximately 80 nucleotides in length. Their secondary structure includes four short double-helical elements and three loops (D, anti-codon, and T loops). Lineage: Eukaryota; Metazoa; Chordata; Aves; Trogoniformes; Trogonidae. The record is from Rfam by way of RNAcentral.
GGCCAGUUAGUUCAGUCAGAGCAUGGUGUUGAUAACACCAAGGUCGUGGGUUCGAUCCCCGUUCAGUCCC